CGCCACUCGUCUGCCAGCGCCAGGUGACGGACUCAGCUCGCAGCACACAGAACAACAUCGCGGCCGCUUGAGACAACAGGAGCUUAUUGGUGCCAUCAUUUCCGGAUCAACUGCAGCUACAAGGUUCAAGUUAAGUGCUUAUGUGUCUUAAGGGGUUAAAAUGGUAACAUCUUGCAGAUAUGGACUGGGAAUAACUUGUCAUAGGCACGAUAGAAAGUAAAUGAAUUGAGUGUGUUUUGUUGACAUACCAAGGGAUGUUUCUGGUAGAUAUUCGGAUGUGCAUUUUGUAAACGGAGGCUCUUUUUGCAGUCAAGGCUUGACUCCGUUUUUAUUGUGUACAUGCCUGGUGUGUGGCUGAUUUUUAUUUCUGUUGGUUUCUGUGACUGUUGAUGACCGGAUUGUAUUCGGUCAGUUAUUGUACGUAAAUUCUGUGCUUUACAAAACAGGGUCUUCCCUGGUUCACCAUCUGUUGUAAUUUCUGUUUUAUGUCAUGGUCAGUGGUUGUCGGGAACCUGGACCAUUACAUAAUCUGCUUUGUGUCGCUCUCUUGGGUCCCGAACCAAGAGAACAACACAGGCCAGAAAGGACGACAGGUGAUUGAAGAACCUAUUUUAUAUUAGUAGUUAAUUCCUGUAGAAUAGUCGACUUCUCGGCGUAGACACAGUCACAGAAACCGAAUCAGCCAUUCAUCGGGCUUGUAUACCACAGAAACAGACUGAAGCAGUCAUAUAUAGCUUCUCGAAAUUUAAACCGAAACAAACGUCAACAUUACUUGGGAUUUCAUCAAAGCACACUCAAUCGUUACUACACAUAAAUUCAUCCCACUUUUUCCACGAUAAACCUAGAACGGAAAUUUUAAUCACAAACCAAGUUAACAUUCUGUACUUGUAAGGUAUAUUUCCUACAUUCCUGAGCCAAAAUAAUUCAUUUUCGUCUUGUCUUUUCUGCCGAGGAUCAUCGCACCGUAAGAAGAAAUGUCCGGACGUGGAAAGGGAGGCGAGGACUGACGUAGGGAGGUACCGGACGUGACCGAAUGGGGAUUCAGUCUUCCAAUAUGACAAGAAACGCCUGCACGCCGUAAGAGAGGAUAGGAGCUGGGGAAUCGAGCUGUGAAUCGCCUGUCACUGAAAGUGCUGGUCAACAUCCAGUACAUCACCGAGCCAAGGAGGCAUACAGUCUUUCAGAGACAUAUGACAAGGACGUAGGUGUGAACAGCUUAUCUGUGAGGCAGCUGAUGCGUGCAUACGUCCUGGCCCUGCUUUGGAACCUGUUCGCUAGUAUUGGAGGAAGGAAGCAAACAAGAAGACUGUUGACUGGGUUGACACAACUGUACAACAAGUUUGAAAUGCGACAUCUCUCAGGAGCUUCCAGUAUCUUAUUGGUGCCAUCAAGCCCGGAUCAACUGCAGCUGCAAUGUAUGGACUUAUCCUGAUUAGAGGCUGCCUGAUGCCCUCUCCACCGUGACGUCCAGAAAGAUGCACUCAGGACUUCAGCCCGCUUCUGUGUUGUACAGGCCCGAUGUGUGACUGAUUUGGUUUCUGUGGCUGUGUUAAUGGCCCUUAUCGUACUCAACCAGUUACUGUAAAUUCUGUUCUUUAUAAAACAGGACCUUUCCUGGUUAAUCAUUAUCUGUUGUCAUUUCUGUUUCAUGUCGUGGUCAGUGGUAGUCGGGAACCUGGACCAUUACAUAAUCUGCUUUGUGUCGCUAUCUUGGGUCCCGAACCAAGAGAACGACACAGGCCAGAAAGAA
Molecule: long non-coding RNA, 1750 nt
Organism: Branchiostoma floridae (Florida lancelet)
Lineage: Eukaryota; Metazoa; Chordata; Leptocardii; Amphioxiformes; Branchiostomatidae
Exons: 5
Source: RefSeq, a predicted model, not a curated record